This 253-nucleotide ribosomal RNA is filed under the name uncultured bacterium. RNAcentral's name for it is "partial 16S ribosomal RNA". It matches the Rfam family "Bacterial small subunit ribosomal RNA", at positions 524 to 776 of the family's 1533-position model. The record is from RNAcentral.
UACGUAGGGUGCGAGCGUUGUCCGGAAUUAUUGGGCGUAAAGGGCUCGUAGGCGGUUUGUCACGUCGGGAGUGAAAACUCAGGGCUUAACCCUGAGCCUGCUUCCGAUACGGGCAGACUAGAGGUAUGCAGGGGAGAACGGAAUUCCUGGUGUAGCGGUGAAAUGCGCAGAUAUCAGGAAGAACACCCGUGGCUAAGGCGGCUCUCUAGUACGGUACUGACGCUGAGACGCGAAAGCGUGGGGAGCGAACAGG